Molecule: long non-coding RNA, 184 nt
Organism: Rhagoletis zephyria (snowberry fruit fly)
Lineage: Eukaryota; Metazoa; Arthropoda; Insecta; Diptera; Tephritidae
Source: RefSeq, a predicted model, not a curated record
GAUGUGCCCAGUGAUAAAUUAUUUGAGCCUCCAGUUACUAUGCGUGACAUGCUGAAGUCCUUGUCUCGCACCAAACCCACUGUGAACGAUGAUGAUCUAGUAAAGCUGCGCAAGUUCACUGAAGACUUUGGACAAGAGGGAUAAAUUGUAGAAAAGCUAAGAAUAUUUGAUUUUAUUAUUAAAA